Molecule: ribosomal RNA, 504 nt
Filed under: uncultured bacterium
Lineage: Bacteria
Description: bacterial SSU rRNA
Rfam family: Bacterial small subunit ribosomal RNA
Source: RNAcentral
GAUCAUGGCUCAGGACGAACGCUGGCGGCGUGCCUAACACAUGCAAGUCGAACGGAGUAUUACGUUGAAAUGAUAUUAGCUUGCUAAAGGAUUUUCUUGUAAUACUUAGUGGCGGACGGGUGAGUAACGCGUGAGCAACCUGCCUUUCAGAGGGGGACAACAGUUGGAAACGACUGCUAAUACCGCAUGAAGCACAGAGAUCGCAUGGUUUUUGUGCCAAGGAUUUAUCGCUGAAAGAUGGCCUCGCGUCUGAUUAGCUAGUUGGUAGGGUAACGGCCUACCAAGGCGACGAUCAGUAGCCGACCUGAGAGGGUGAUCGGCCACAUUGGGACUGAGAUACGGCCCAGACUCCUACGGGAGGCAGCAGUGGGGAAUAUUGGGCAAUGGGGGAAACCCUGACCCAGCAACGCCGCGUGAAGGAAGAGGGCCUUCGGGUUGUAAACUUCUUUUAGUAGGGACGAAUACAUGACGGUACCUACAGAAAAAGCAACGGCUAACUACGUG